RNAcentral lists this ribosomal RNA (468 nucleotides) under uncultured bacterium. RNAcentral's name for it is "partial 16S ribosomal RNA". It matches the Rfam family "Bacterial small subunit ribosomal RNA", at positions 28 to 507 of the family's 1533-position model. The record is from RNAcentral.
GACGAACGCUGGCGGCGUGCUUAACACAUGCAAGUCGAACGGAAAGGCCCUGCUUUUGUGGGGUGCUCGAGUGGCGAACGGGUGAGUAGCACGUGAGUAACCUGCCCUUGACUUUGGGAUAACUUCAGGAAACUGGGGCUAAUACCGGAUAGGAGCUCCUGCUGCAUGGUGGGGGUUGGAAAGUUUCGGCGGUUGGGGAUGGACUCGCGGCUUAUCAGCUUGUUGGUGGGGUAGUGGCUUACCAAGGCUUUGACGGGUAGCCGGCCUGAGAGGGUGACCGGCCACAUUGGGACUGAGAUACGGCCCAGACUCCUACGGGAGGCAGCAGUGGGGAAUAUUGCACAAUGGGCGGAAGCCUGAUGCAGCAACGCCGCGUGCAGGAUGACGGCCUUCGGGUUGUAAACCGCUUUCGCCUGUGACGAAGCGUGAGUGACGGUAAUGGGUAAAGAAGCACCGGCUAACUACGUG